AUAAUGAGACUUCCGGAGACAAGCUGCUCCGGUCCGAGAGGAUGGUGUGAUACCAAUGA
Regulatory RNA element from Blautia sp. An46, 59 nucleotides. It matches the Rfam family "pemK RNA". The record is from Rfam. NCBI's taxonomy places the organism in Bacteria, Bacillati, Bacillota, Clostridia, Lachnospirales, Lachnospiraceae.